ACUGGCUUGUUACAAUCCUUCUGGU
RNAcentral lists this non-coding RNA (25 nucleotides) under Cricetulus griseus (Chinese hamster). The record is from RNAcentral. Lineage: Eukaryota; Metazoa; Chordata; Mammalia; Rodentia; Cricetidae.